AAGCCCCAUGGUGUAAAAGGCACACCCGGAUUGCAAAUCUGGUAGCGCAGGCUAAUCUCUGCUGGGGCUUG
RNAcentral lists this transfer RNA (71 nucleotides) under Pythonichthys microphthalmus. Its description in RNAcentral is "tRNA-Cys". The record is from RNAcentral. Lineage: Eukaryota; Metazoa; Chordata; Actinopteri; Anguilliformes; Heterenchelyidae.